UCGCGGCCUAUCAGCUUGUUGGUGGGGUAAUGGCCUACCAAGGCGACGACGGGUAGCCGGCCUGAGAGGGCGACCGGCCACACUGGGACUGAGAUACGGCCCAGACUCCUACGGGAGGCAGCAGUGGGGAAUAUUGCACAAUGGGCGGAAGCCUGAUGCAGCAACGCCGCGUGCGGGAUGACGGCCUUCGGGUUGUAAACCGCUUUCACCAGGGGCGAAUUUGGACGGUACCUGGGGAAGAAGCACCGGCUAACUACGUGCCAGCAGCCGCGGUGAUACGUAGGGUGCGAGCGUUGUCCGGAUUUAUUGGGCGUAAAGGGCUCGUAGGUGGUUUGUUGCGUCGGAAGUGAAAACCUGCAGCUUAACUGUGGGCUUGCUUUCGAUACGGGCAGACUUGAGGAAGGUAGGGGAGAACGGAAUUCCUGGUGGAGCGGUGGAAUGCGCAGAUAUCAGGAGGAACACCGGUGGCGAAGGCGGUUCUCUGGACCUUUCCUGACGCUGAGGAGCGAAAGCGUGGGGAGCAAACAGGCUUAGAUACCCUGGUAGUCCACGCCGUAAACGGUGGGCACUAGGUGUGGGGGACAUUCCACGUUCUCCGUGCCGUAGCUAACGCAUUAAGUGCCCCGCCUGGGGAGUACGG
Molecule: ribosomal RNA, 640 nt
Filed under: uncultured Actinomycetes bacterium
Lineage: Bacteria; Bacillati; Actinomycetota; Actinomycetes
Description: bacterial SSU rRNA
Rfam family: Bacterial small subunit ribosomal RNA
Source: RNAcentral